Molecule: ribosomal RNA, 464 nt
Filed under: uncultured bacterium
Lineage: Bacteria
Description: partial 16S ribosomal RNA
Rfam family: Bacterial small subunit ribosomal RNA
Source: RNAcentral
CUACGGGGCGCACCAGUGGGGAAUAUUGGACAAUGGGGGGAACCCUGAUCCAGCCAUGCCGCGUGUGUGAAGAAGGCCUUUUGGUUGUAAAGCACUUUAAGCAGUGAAGAAGACUCUUCGGUUAAUACCCGGGGACGAUGACAUUAGCUGCAGAAUAAGCACCGGCUAACUCUGUGCCAGCAGCCGCGGUAAUACAGAGGGUGCAAGCGGUAAUCGGAAUUACUGGGCGUAAAGCGAGCGUAGGUGGCUUGAUAAGUCAGAUGUGAAAUCCCCGGGCUUAACCUGGGAACUGCAUCUGAAACUGUUAGGCUAGAGUAGGUGAGAGGGAAGUAGAAUUUCAGGUGUAGCGGUGAGAUGCGUAGAGAUCUGAAGGAAUACCGAUGGCGAAGGCAGCUUCCUGGCAUCAUACUGACACUGAGGCUCGAAAGCGUGGGUAGCAAACAGGAUUAGAUACCCUAGUAGUC